This 221-nucleotide long non-coding RNA is filed under the name Capsella rubella. Its description in RNAcentral is "long non-coding RNA (CRUB_LNC000742)". Lineage: Eukaryota; Viridiplantae; Streptophyta; Magnoliopsida; Brassicales; Brassicaceae. The record is from RNAcentral.
UUUUUUGGUCAAGAAAGAAGAGAAGAGGGAGAAUAAUUCUCACUAGUUUUAUUUUCGUAAUAUAUAUUUUUCUAAAACAAUUUGGAUUAAAAUUAAUAUAAUUAUAAAAAGGGUAAAAUAUAGUUUUUACAUACUACCAAUCAAUUAUCAUACUAACACAUUUGUCGAAGCUGGAAACCAUUCUAGAACCAAAUUAACAAGUUCGAAGUUCAGGAUCUGUC